Molecule: non-coding RNA, 29 nt
Filed under: Mus musculus (house mouse)
Lineage: Eukaryota; Metazoa; Chordata; Mammalia; Rodentia; Muridae
Source: RNAcentral
UGCUAUGAUGAAACACUAUGUCAAAAAGC